UGGGGAGUGACGUCAAAUCAUCAUGCCCUUUAUGUCCUGGGCUACACACGUGCUACAAUGGUCGGUACAACGAGAAGCAAGUCAGCGAUGGCAAGCAAAUCUCUAAAAGCCGAUCCCAGUUCGGAUUGCAGGCUGCAACUCGCCUGCAUGAAGUCGGAGUUGCUAGUAAUCGCGGAUCAGAAUGCCGCGGUGAAUGCGUUCCCGGGUCUU
RNAcentral lists this ribosomal RNA (210 nucleotides) under uncultured Eubacteriales bacterium. RNAcentral describes it as "uncultured Clostridiales bacterium partial 16S ribosomal RNA". It matches the Rfam family "Bacterial small subunit ribosomal RNA", at positions 1173 to 1382 of the family's 1533-position model. Lineage: Bacteria; Bacillati; Bacillota; Clostridia; Eubacteriales. The record is from RNAcentral.